This 254-nucleotide ribosomal RNA is filed under the name uncultured bacterium. Its description in RNAcentral is "partial 16S ribosomal RNA". It matches the Rfam family "Bacterial small subunit ribosomal RNA", at positions 524 to 777 of the family's 1533-position model. The record is from RNAcentral.
UACGUAGGUGACCAGCGUUGUCCGGAUUUACUGGGCGUAAAGAGCGCGCAGGCGGUCGUUCAAGUCGAGUGUGAAAGCCCCCGGCUCAACUGGGGAGGGUCAUUCGAUACUGAUCGACUUGAAGGCAGGAGAGGGAAGUGGAAUUCCCGGUGUAGUGGUGAAAUGCGUAGAUAUCGGGAGGAACACCAGUGGCGAAGGCGACUUCCUGGCCUGUUCUUGACGCUGAGGCGCGAAAGCUAGGGGAGCAAACGGGG